AGAGGGAGGAGACAGAGGCAGAGCAACAAGACUUAGGAAAGAAGUGGACAGAUGGCCGUAACAGUGAUCAUCAUCACUUGUGCAGUUCUAUCAAUCUACCUAUGCAUUUCUACACCACCUCUCACCAGAGUGCUUGCCUCCUGUUCUCCCUAAGCAAUGAGGUUAAUAUUGAAGAACCGGGUCCAUGGUGCUGGCAGAAUCCAGGCGGAACCAAUCUUCAAAGCAUCUGCUUCCAUUGUCCUCCCCAUCUCAUCCUAACCACAUCCCUGGCCUUUAUUUCUUUCCCACAAUGUGAGGGCAAUAAAGAUUAACCUAUCUACUUAAGUUUUGUAAUUACAGUU
Non-coding RNA from Arvicanthis niloticus (Nile rat), 341 nucleotides. Lineage: Eukaryota; Metazoa; Chordata; Mammalia; Rodentia; Muridae. The record is from RefSeq and is a predicted model, not a curated record.